AUGGCGGCCAAGAAGCUGUGCGAGGCCUACUCCAAGAGCCUGCUCGACGAGGCGCACCGGUGGGGCGGCCUGAAGCAGACCGGGGUCAGCCUCAAGUACAUGAUGGAGUUCGGGUCCCGGCCCAGCGAGCGCAACCUGCUCAUCUCCGCCCAGUUCCUCCACAAGGAGCUCCCCAUCAGGAUCGCCCGCCGGGCCAUAGAGCUCGAGAACCUGCCGUACGGAUUGUCUGAGAAACCCGCCGUCUUGAAGGUUCGGGAUUGGUACUUGGAUUCUUUCCGCGACGUCAGGGCCUUCCCUGAUAUCAAGGAUGCGACUGACGAGAGGGAUUUCACGCAAAUGAUAAAGGCAGUAAAGGUUAGACAUAAUAAUGUCGUCCCAAUGAUGGCAUUAGGAGUUCAACAGCUGAAGAAAGACAUGAAACAGAAGGUUGUUACUGAGGAUCUGGAUGAGAUCCAUCAAUUUCUUGACCGUUUUUACAUGUCAAGAAUUGGCAUUCGAAUGCUUAUUGGUCAGCAUGUGGAGUUGCAUAAUCCCAAUCCUCCUCCUCAUUGCGUGGGAUAUAUCCACACGAGAAUGUCCCCAGUUGAGGUUGCACGUAAUGCUAUUGAGGAUGCUCGUGCUAUUUGUUUGCGCGAGUAUGGCAGUGCUCCGGAUAUUAAUAUAUAUGGGGAUCCCAGCUUUACAUUCCCGUAUGUUCCAACACACUUGCAUCUAAUGGUAUUUGAGUUGGUUAAGAACUCUUUGCGUGCUGUCCAAGAACGAUUCAUGGAUUCAGAUAAAGUUGCACCUCCUAUUCGAAUUAUUGUUGCUGAUGGAGACGAAGACGUUACAAUCAAGGUCUCAGAUGAGGGGGGUGGCAUCCCAAGAAGUGGUCUUCCCAAAAUCUUCACGUAUCUGUAUAGCACUGCGAAAAACCCCCUGGAUGAGAACUCAGAUCUUGGAAUAGCUGAUAAUGUGACUAUGGCCGGUUAUGGGUAUGGGCUUCCAAUCAGCCGUCUGUAUGCUCGGUACUUCGGUGGUGACCUGCAAAUUAUUUCUAUGGAAGGAUAUGGGACUGAUGCAUACCUCCAUUUAUCUCGCCUCGCAGAUUCGCAAGAACCGCUUCCGUGAGAAAAACUAAAGCAUGAACUCCUGGUUCAUGAGAACAGACUUCUGGGAAAUGCCCACGGAGGAAAAGAACUCAUGCUUCGUGUUGCAGAGUUGGUUCCGAGGCAUCCUGGACAGACCAAGAAGCAAGAGCCUGUGUUCACCGCGAGUACUGGAGCUUCGAAAUCUGGCAAGGGCGGGAAAAAGAAGAGAUAGUCGAACAUAGUUGCAAAUGCAUCACCGCAGUUACAUUAUUAUUUUGUGAGACCGGUUCCAUGGAUCCACCCGGGAACCGGACCGGACGGCGGUGGGUUCCGGGUGGAUCUAUCGCAACAAAUGGGUGGAUCCGGUUCCAAUUUUUGGAACUGGUUCUUAGCGGGUGGUUCCCGGUUCUAGGUCGGGAACCGCCCGCUUGGACCAUGCACACCCCUAUGUCAACUUCUGCACACGUGAUGCAUGCCUGUUUCUUUCCAUCCAUGACCAUGUGCAAUCUUUACAAGAGCACUUGCUGGAGCAAAGAGUGGUCGGAUUUGGUUUCUGGAUUCAGAUUCGGUUUCUAUUUCCCACGACGAUUACGCCAUAAAAAACGUUUGAGUCGAACUUAGUUAUGCAUUGAAUAGUCUUCUGCAUAUUUGGGAAUUCUCAGAGAUGCGGAUGUCUAUAAUCGGUUUUGGUCUUAAACCUGAUGAGAUUUUCUUGUGGA
This is an RNA transcript of Eucalyptus grandis, 1789 nucleotides long. It is a transcript of the gene named pyruvate dehydrogenase (acetyl-transferring) kinase, mitochondrial, with no coding region annotated. Lineage: Eukaryota; Viridiplantae; Streptophyta; Magnoliopsida; Myrtales; Myrtaceae. The record is from RefSeq and is a predicted model, not a curated record. The transcript is spliced from 7 exons.